This 301-nucleotide ribosomal RNA is filed under the name uncultured bacterium. RNAcentral describes it as "partial 16S ribosomal RNA". It matches the Rfam family "Bacterial small subunit ribosomal RNA", at positions 509 to 809 of the family's 1533-position model. The record is from RNAcentral.
CAGUCGCCACGGGAAUACGAAGGGUGCAAGCGUUAAUCGGAAUUACUGGGCGUAAAGCGUGCGUAGGCGGUUUGUUAAGUCUGUUGUGAAAUCCCCGGGCUCAACCUGGGAAUGGCAAUGGAUACUGGCAAGCUAGAGUGUGUCAGAGGAUGGUGGAAUUCCCGGUGUAGCGGUGAAAUGCGUAGAGAUCGGGAGGAACAUCAGUGGCGAAGGCGGCCAUCUGGGACAACACUGACGCUGAGGCACGAAAGCGUGGGGAGCAAACAGGAUUAGAGACCCCGGUAGUCCCUGUCUCUUAUAA